This 555-nucleotide ribosomal RNA is filed under the name fungal sp. RNAcentral describes it as "eukaryotic LSU rRNA". The stretch from base 185 to 338 matches the Rfam family "5.8S ribosomal RNA". Lineage: Eukaryota; Fungi. The record is from RNAcentral.
GGUCGAGCUGAGGACUCUGGGUCACCUCCCACCCGUGUCUAUCGUACCUUGUUGCUUCGGCGGGCCCGCCGUUUCGACGGCCGCCGGGGAGGCCCUGCGCCCCCGGGCCCGCGCCCGCCGAAGACCCCAACAUGAACGCUGUUCUGAAAGUAUGCAGUCUGAGUUGAUUAUCGUAAUCAGUUAAAACUUUCAACAACGGAUCUCUUGGUUCCGGCAUCGAUGAAGAACGCAGCGAAAUGCGAUAAGUAAUGUGAAUUGCAGAAUUCAGUGAAUCAUCGAGUCUUUGAACGCACAUUGCGCCCCCUGGUAUUCCGGGGGGCAUGCCUGUCCGAGCGUCAUUGCUGCCCUCAAGCACGGCUUGUGUGUUGGGCCCCCGUCCCCCUCUCCCGGGGGACGGGCCCGAAAGGCAGCGGCGGCACCGCGUCCGGUCCUCGAGCGUAUGGGGCUUUGUCACCUGCUCUGUAGGCCCGGCCGGCGCCAGCCGACACCCAACUUUAUUUUUCUAAGGUUGACCUCGGAUCAGGUAGGGAUACCCGCUGAACUUAAGCAUAUCAA